This 503-nucleotide ribosomal RNA is filed under the name uncultured Diversispora. RNAcentral describes it as "SSU rRNA". It matches the Rfam family "Eukaryotic small subunit ribosomal RNA", at positions 569 to 1075 of the family's 1831-position model. The record is from RNAcentral. Lineage: Eukaryota; Fungi; Glomeromycota; Glomeromycetes; Diversisporales; Diversisporaceae.
AGCAGCCGCGGUAAUUCCAGCUCCAAUAGCGUAUAUUAAAGUUGUUGCAGUUAAAAAGCUCGUAGUUGAACUUCGGGGUCUACCCAUUGGUCAGGCUUAAUUGUCUGCACUGGUGAGAUGGAUCUCUACCUUCUGAGGAACUUUCAUGCCAUUUAUUUGGUGUGGUUGGAAAUCAGGACUGUUACUUUGAAAAAUUAGAGUGUUUAAAGCAGACUAUCGUCUGAAUACAUUAGCAUGGAAUAAUGAAAUAGGACGGACUGAUUCUAUUUUGUUGGUUUCUAGGAUCGACGUAAUGAUUAAUAGGGAUAGUUGGGGGCAUUAGUAUUCAAUUGUCAGAGGUGAAAUUCUUGGAUUUAUUGAAGACUGACUACUGCGAAGCAUUUGCCAAGGAUGUUUUCAUUAAUCAAAGAACGAAAGUUAGGGGAUCGAAGACGAUCAGAUACCGUCGUAGUCUUAACCAUAAACUAUGCCGACUAGGGAUCGGAUGAUGUUAUUUUAAUGUA